RNAcentral lists this small nuclear RNA (24 nucleotides) under Arabidopsis thaliana (thale cress). RNAcentral's name for it is "snRNA_02259". The record is from RNAcentral. Lineage: Eukaryota; Viridiplantae; Streptophyta; Magnoliopsida; Brassicales; Brassicaceae.
AAACAAAGAUGAUAAAAAGAACAU